UUUCCCCUUUGUGUUUGUUCCCUAAUUUCUUGGAAAGCCAGUGAAUUUUCUUGGGAAAUUUGGGAAACUUUCUAUUACAACCAACACCCCAACGUAUCUGUAGAAAUUUGGGAAAUCAUUUUUUUUCUUCAAAAAAAUUAGAAAAAUGGAAUUUUUUUGAAACAAAAAUUAGAAAAAAAUUCUUUGAUUAAUGUUUUCUUUUUUUAAACUAUUAGUUCUUGGG
RNAcentral lists this unclassified non-coding RNA (223 nucleotides) under Hevea brasiliensis (rubber tree). The record is from RNAcentral. Lineage: Eukaryota; Viridiplantae; Streptophyta; Magnoliopsida; Malpighiales; Euphorbiaceae.